GGCCACUGCUAUCGGAGUCCGACUAAGCCAUGCGAGUCCAGGUGCUUCGGCACCGGCGGACGGCUCAGUAACACGUGGACAACCUACCCUCGGGAGGGGGAUAACCCCGGGAAACUGGGAAUAAACCCCCAUAGGUCAUGGAUGCUGGAAGGCGCCAUGACCGAAAUUCCGAAAGGAGCCCGAGGAUGGGUCUGCGGCCUAUCAGGUCGUAGUGGGGGUAACGGCCCCACUAGCCUACGACGGGUACGGGCCCUGAGAGGGGGAGCCCGGAGAUGGACUCUGAGACACGAGUCCAGGCCCUACGGGGCGCAGCAGGCGCGAAAACUCCGCAAUGCUCGAAAGAGCGACGGGGGGACUCCGAGUGCCUACGCUUUGCGUAGGCUUUUCCCGAGCCUAAAAAGCUCGGGGAAUAAGGGCUGGGUAAGACGGGUGCCAGCCGCCGCGGUAAUACCCGCAGCUCGAGUGGUGGCCGCUUUUAUUGGGCCUAAAGCGUCCGUAGCCGGUCUGGUAAAUGCCUGGGUAAAUCGUCUGGCUCAACCAGACGGCUCCCAGGUAGACUGCCAGACUUGGGACCGGAGGAGGGAGAGGGUACUCCAGGGGUAGGGGUGAAAUCCUGUAAUCCCUGGAGGACCACCGGUGGCGAAGGCGCUCUCCUAGGACGGGUCCGACGGUGAGGGACGAAAGCCAGGGGAGCAAACCGGAUUAGAUACCCGGGUAGUCCUGGCCGUAAACGAUGUGGACUUGGUAUUGGGAUGGCUACGAGCUGUCCCAGUAUCGUAGGGAAGCCGUUAAGUCCACCGCCUGGGGAGUACGGUCGCAAGGCUGAAACUUAAAGGAAUUGGCGGGGGAGCACUGCAACGGGAGGAGCGUGCGGUUU
Molecule: ribosomal RNA, 877 nt
Filed under: uncultured euryarchaeote
Lineage: Archaea; Methanobacteriati; Methanobacteriota
Description: bacterial SSU rRNA
Rfam family: Archaeal small subunit ribosomal RNA
Source: RNAcentral